GACGAACGCUGGCGGCGUGCCUAAUACAUGCAGGUGAACCGCUAAGGGGGGAAGCUGGCUCUCCUGGGUGGGGUGGGAACGGGGGAGUUACGGGGAGGGUAACCUGCCUGGAGGCGGGGGAUAACUAUGGGAAACAAAGGCAAAUACCGAAUAACAAUGGAUACCACAGUUCUUUUAUUUGAAGGGGGCAAUUGCCCAACACAAGGAGGGACCUGCGUUGUAUUGGCUAGUAGGUGAGGUAAUGGCUCACCUAGGCGACGAUACAUAGCCGACCUGAGAGGGUGAUCGGCCACACUGGGACUGAGACACGGCCCAGACUCCUACGGGAGGCAGCAGUAGGGAAUCUUCGGCAAUGGGGGCAACCCUGACCGAGCAACGCCGCGUGAGUGAAGAAGGUUUUCGGAUCGUAAAGCUCUGUUGUAAGUCAAGAACGGGUGUGAGAGUGGAAAGUUCACACUGUGACGGUAGCUUACCAGAAAGGGACGGCUAACUACGUG
Molecule: ribosomal RNA, 497 nt
Filed under: uncultured bacterium
Lineage: Bacteria
Description: partial 16S ribosomal RNA
Rfam family: Bacterial small subunit ribosomal RNA
Source: RNAcentral